UCCCUGGUGGUCUAGUGGUUAGGAUUGGGCACUUCCACCACUCCAGCCCAGGUUCGAUCCCUGGUCUGGGAA
RNAcentral lists this transfer RNA (72 nucleotides) under Sus scrofa (pig). It matches the Rfam family "tRNA". From Rfam's summary of the family: Transfer RNA (tRNA) molecules are approximately 80 nucleotides in length. Their secondary structure includes four short double-helical elements and three loops (D, anti-codon, and T loops). Further hydrogen bonds mediate the characteristic L-shaped molecular structure. tRNAs have two regions of fundamental functional importance: the anti-codon, which is responsible for specific mRNA codon recognition, and the 3' end, to which the tRNAs corresponding amino acid is attached (by aminoacyl-tRNA synthetases). tRNAs cope with the degeneracy of the genetic code in two manners: having more than one tRNA (with a specific anti-codon) for a particular amino acid; and 'wobble' base-pairing, i.e. permitting non-standard base-pairing at the 3rd anti-codon position. Lineage: Eukaryota; Metazoa; Chordata; Mammalia; Artiodactyla; Suidae. The record is from Rfam by way of RNAcentral.